GAUCAGAUGGAGCUGGGGAGAACCAGAUUGGAUGGUUCCUAGGACUGUAGUGCACUGGUGGGGGAGACCCAGGAAAAGAGAGUUACCCUGGAAGGGGUGGCACUGUUUGACCUUGCUAGAGGGACAAGUCACUACACAAACACUGAGGUCCAGAGGAGGAAGCAGAGGGGCUAUGAUGCUGGAGUUUGUCACGAGGAAGCGCUCUGGAACAAUCAGCUCAGCUCCAUCUGGAGACUAAAUGUGCUCAAGAGGAGCCCCCUUGCUAAAAAAGGCCUUAUGAAAACUUCUGGUGAAACAUUCUUAUUUCUUAUCCUCAAAACAGCUACUGCCAUUCAUUCAUCUUGUGAACUAAUCACUGGCACGAUGCUGUUUUGAAAUAGCUAUUUCUGAGUUAUCUGAAUGUAAAACAUGUUGCGAUGAAUUCCUGUUUAUGUAUGUAUUUGCACAUAAUUAAA
Long non-coding RNA from Dermochelys coriacea (leatherback sea turtle), 455 nucleotides. RefSeq lists it as uncharacterized. The transcript has 3 exons. The record is from RefSeq and is a predicted model, not a curated record. Lineage: Eukaryota; Metazoa; Chordata; Testudines; Dermochelyidae.